UACGUAGGUGACAAGCGUUAUCCGGAUUUACUGGGUGUAAAGGGCGUGUAGGCGGUUUAGCAAGUCAGAAGUGAAAUUCCCGGGCUUAACUUGGGCGCUGCUUCUGAAACUGCUUUACUUGAGUGCUGGAGAGGAUAGUGGAAUUCCUAGUGUAGCGGUAAAAUGCGCAGAUAUUAGGAGGAACACCGGUGGCGAAGGCGGCUAUCUGGACAGUAACUGACGCUGAGGCGCGAAAGCACGGGGAG
Molecule: ribosomal RNA, 245 nt
Filed under: uncultured Saccharofermentans sp.
Lineage: Bacteria; Bacillati; Bacillota; Clostridia; Eubacteriales; Oscillospiraceae
Description: partial 16S ribosomal RNA
Rfam family: Bacterial small subunit ribosomal RNA
Source: RNAcentral